UUUAACUGUUUAUUUUCAUAUUUUCUUCUUACCAUAUACAGAAAAAAGAACUUGUAAAAAAAAAACUGCCCCUUUUAGGCUUGCAUUUAUUAUUUAUUUUCACUGCCUCACAUAGAUGCUUCAGACUGGGACUCCGCCAGCACCACCAGUAAGGCCAGUAAGAACUACCCAGUUCAUAAGCUAGAAGACGAACCUCUCUUUGAAAGCCCAGCAGCUUCCACACUACCCAUAACACCUCAGCAACAGGACAUGGACACCAGGGAACAUGAAGAAGCCAAUCCAGAGAGAAACAAACCCACAAUCUCAAGCACAACACCUCUACCUAGUCCACGAUCUCUCAACCCAAACGUCAGCUCAAAACCACAGCCACUGCCACGGCUGCGCUUGGACUCCAAUCAGAGGCCAGAGAGUGAAGGUAGAACUCAGAAACUGCAAAUCUUAGAUUUAGUUCAGUAAAUAUAUAUGCUGAUUACAUAACUUGUUUAUUUACAGAAUCGGACUGGGAUACGGACACUUUCAGUCCAGCCAAGAAGACAGCUUCACUGCCAAAUGUCGCUGAGCCUGAUGCAGGUAAAACUGUGAGGGUGAGCACUCAGGGUUUAAUAUUUCUCACUGUAUUUUAUAUAACAUAGUAACAUGGGUGAAUUUCUCUUCAGUUCGUCGGCAGAAACCCAAAGCUGAAGAUGCAGAGAGUGAAGACCGUUCUGACGCAAGCGAAGAUGUAGAUCAGGCAAGAGAGGCAUUACAAGCAUCUUCCGUAUACAUAAAUAAGCCAUCUAACCAUGAACCACUGGAGCGCCCAACCUCUCCUAUAGAGGACGAACAAGAGGAGAAAGCUGAUGAGAUUCCCUGGGAGGAACGCUAUGAGAAAAUCUGGGUGGAUAAUGAAAAAAAGGAGACCAAGUCCCAAUAUAAAAACGUGGCUGCUGAACUAAAAGAGAGGUUUGGAGAACUGGAGCACAAGGAACCACCAAGUAGGCUUUCGGAGCAGGAGUGGAAAGAAGAUGAACAAUAUGAUGAGGUGGAAAAGGAAGCAGAUGAUGAAGAUUCCAGUGAGGAAGAUGGAGAGCUAAUAGUGCGACCCACCGCCCGGGCAAGAAGUGCCAUACUGUUGCCCAUCCCAGAGCAGAGAGAGUCAGGCCUGGAGGACUCACAGUCUGAAAGUGUCCACCGCACAAUUAGUGUUGAGGUCAGUGAUGCAGAGCUUCCCAGUGACCACCACAACCCCCAAAUCAUCCCAGAAGUCCUAACAGAUGAGGACCAGGAGCCAGACAAACGAGCGGAUGACAUUGAGGAACCUGAUAGUGGAAGCAAAGAAAAGUGUCCACUAGAAUCUGGAAGCAACAUAGAUGAAGAACCUGAACUUCACAGACCUUCAUUGCAUGUUGAGAAUGAGCUACAAAUCCCACAUAAAUUUCUAGAAGCGACCCCUUCUGACCCCGACGAGGUUGGCGAGGGCUUGUGGAAGUCCAGACUUGAGGUAGGACCCCGGGAGGAGUCUCAGACAAACUUGUAUAACGAAUGAAGACUUUCAGUUUUGCCUCUGUCUUCUUGUUCUUCAUUCACAUAAACUCAAAAUGUGAGGGAAAAGCUCCAGCUUCAAAAACAAAACCAUCUGUCGUCUUGUAAUGCUGCCCAGACGCUGACGGGCCAAAUUACACAGCUGCUCCCUAUCUCUGGUUGUGCUAAUCAUUAGCUCUGUUCCAAAACUAGUGAGCUGCCUAGCUGGACAUGACAUGCUUCUGAUUAUGUUGCCUUGUUUUGUCCAAAAACGUGUUUUUAAAACUUUUUAUAAGCUCUUUACCGGUACAUUUUGUGCUCAUGUUGCAGUGCUUUGAAGCUAAUUUAGCGCAUUUACGCAGAAAAACAAUUAUUGUAAUUGUGAAUUUGCAAAUAUUUGCAUUUUAUACAGUAUUGAAAGUGUUGAAAAAGGCCUUAAUCUAAAUAAGCACAUUUCAAAUUUGUAUGUGUCGUAGAGCAAGCAGUGGUCUUCUCAGUGACGCUCGAGAAGCAGAGUUCCAGAUGUCAAAAUAAGACUUUAUUGUGCAACAAAGCUGAGAUGACAGUCACCGCAUCUGGGUCUUUGUCUGUCUGGGCAGCCAUACUUAUACCUUGUUCUUAUCAGUCGUUUUUACCAAAAAUUGGUAAUCUGGUUUCUUAUUGGUUUCGCUUGUCUGGUUUGCCACAAUUAAUUAAUACUCCUCCUGACUUCUUUUGUAAUUGUGGAAUCUGGGCCAGAUGGGCCAUUUUUAAAAUUACUUUUAUUUUGCUGUGUUCUUUGGGUUGGCACAAUAAAGACAUGUUCCUACAUCUCCCA
Long non-coding RNA from Cyprinus carpio (common carp), 2317 nucleotides. The record is from Ensembl. Lineage: Eukaryota; Metazoa; Chordata; Actinopteri; Cypriniformes; Cyprinidae.